UAAAAUUUCUCUUUUAUUUUGUUUAUAAUAAUCUCUAUUCAAACUCAAUUUAAUUAUUGUAAAUUUGAAGUAGAGUUAUAUAAUAUUAUACUGUUUUAUAUUGAAGAGUUUACUCUUAAGACAACAGAAGCAACAACCACUCAUCACUUUACAACAUUUACAACAUUCUUCAUCCCUUGCGUUUGCGCUUUCCAUCAAAGUAGAAACAACAACGAACAACACCAACAAUAGAAUCAUCAUCAUCUUCAUUGAA
This 253-nucleotide long non-coding RNA is filed under the name Lupinus angustifolius (narrow-leaved blue lupine). RNAcentral describes it as "long non-coding RNA (LANG_LNC000559)". Lineage: Eukaryota; Viridiplantae; Streptophyta; Magnoliopsida; Fabales; Fabaceae. The record is from RNAcentral.